Molecule: transfer RNA, 74 nt
Filed under: Bacteroidales bacterium
Lineage: Bacteria; Pseudomonadati; Bacteroidota; Bacteroidia; Bacteroidales
Description: tRNA-Asn
Rfam family: tRNA
About the family: Transfer RNA (tRNA) molecules are approximately 80 nucleotides in length. Their secondary structure includes four short double-helical elements and three loops (D, anti-codon, and T loops).
Source: RNAcentral
UCUUCAGUAGCUCAGUCGGUUAGAGCACCUGACUGUUAAUCAGGGGGUCGAUGGUUCAAGUCCAUCCUGAAGAG